RNAcentral lists this transfer RNA (73 nucleotides) under Felis catus (domestic cat). It matches the Rfam family "tRNA". From Rfam's summary of the family: Transfer RNA (tRNA) molecules are approximately 80 nucleotides in length. Their secondary structure includes four short double-helical elements and three loops (D, anti-codon, and T loops). RNAcentral also lists the same sequence under 2 other names. The record is from Rfam by way of RNAcentral. Lineage: Eukaryota; Metazoa; Chordata; Mammalia; Carnivora; Felidae.
GCCUAGCUGGCUCAGUCAAUAAAGCAUGUGACUCUUGAUCUCAGGGUCAUGAGUUCGAGCCCCAUGUUGGACA